UGUCAUUACAUCAAAAAUAAAAAUUAUAAGUUAAAACAUAAAUGAAAUUACAAAAUUCCUAUCUAUGCGACUUCUUUUGGACUCUUGACUUGAGUUUCAUCACCCUAUUCUUCAGGCGGGCUCCUGACUUGUAAUUUCUUCAACUUUUUGCCUGACUUUCAAUUUCUUCACCCUGUUCUCUAGGUGGGCUCCUGACUUGCUAUUUUUCAAUUUGUGGACUUUCAAUUUCUUCACCUUGUUAUUUGACUUUCAAUUUAUUCUCCCUGUGCUUCAGGCGGGUUCCAAUGUUGCUUGAAUUAUCAAAACAAGGAAGUGUGCUGCUUACAAAUGCCGCUUGAAUUACCCAAACAAGGAAGUGCGUCUCCUUACAAAUUCCGGUUGAAUUACCCAAACAAGAAAGUGCAUCUCCUUACAAAUGUCGAUUGAAUUACCCAAACAAGGAAGUGCGUCUCCUUACAAAUGCUACUUGAAUUUUGAAAUAAGAAAGUACGUCUCAUUUCCAAUGCCGCUUGAAUUACCUAAAUAAGGAAGUGCGUCUCCUUACAAAUGCCCAUUGAAUUACCAAAAUAAGGAAGUACGUCUCCUUACAAAUGCCGCUUGAAUUACCAAAAUAAGAAAGUGCGUCUCCUUACCAAUGCCUGUUGAAUUACCCAAAUAAGGAAGUGCAUCUCUUUACAAAUGCCGCUUGAAUUACACAAACAAGGAAAUGUGUCUCCUUACAAAUGCCACUUGAAUUAACCAAACAAGAAAGUGCGUCUCCUUACCAAUGUUGCUUGAAAUGUCCAAACAAAGAAGUGCGUCCCCUUACAAAUACUACUUGAAUUACCAAACAAGGAAGUGCGUCUCCUAACAAAUGUUUCUUGACUUACCAAAACAAGGAAGUGCUUCUUCUUACCAAUGUAGCUUGAGUUACCCAAACAAGGAAGUGCGUCUCCUUACAAAUGCCACUUGAAUUACACAAACAAAGAAAUAUGUCUCCUUACAAAUACCACUUGAAUUAACCAAACAAGGAAGUGCGUCUCCUUACAAAUAUUGCUUGAAAUGUCCAAACAAGGAAGUGUGUCCCCUUACAAAUACCACUUGAAUUACCAAACAAGGAAGUGCAUCUCCUAACAAAUGUCUCUUGAAUUACCAAAACAAGGAAGUGCAUCUCCUUACCAACGCCGCUUGAAUUACCCAAACAAGAAAGUAUGUCUUCUUACAAAUACCGCUUGAAUUACACAAACAAAGAAAUGCGUCUCCUUACAAAUACCACUUGAAUUAACCAAAUAAGGAAGUGUGUCUCCUUACAAAUGUUGCUUGAAAUGUUCAAUAAAGAAAGUACGUCCCCUUACAAAUACCAUUUGAAUUACCAAACAAGGAAGUGCGUCUCCUAACAAAUGUCUCUUGAAUUACCAAAAAGAGGAAGUGCGUCACCUUACCAAUGCCGCUUGAAUUACCCAAACAAGGAAAUGUGUCUCCUUACAAUUGUCGCUUGAAUUACACAAACAAGGAAAUGUGUCUCCUUACAAAUGUCACUUGAAUUAACUAAACAAGAAAGUGUGUCUCCUUAUAAAUGUCGCUUGAAUUACCCAAACAAGGAAGUGCAUCUCCUUACAAAUAUUGCUUGGAUUACCCAAACAAGAAAGUGCAUCUCCUUACAAAUGUUGCUUGAAUUGCCCAAACAAGGAAGUUUGUUUCCUUACCAAUGUUGCUUGAAUUAACCAAACAAGAAAGUGCGUCUCCUUACAAAUAUUACUUGAAUUAUCCAGACAAGAAAGUGUGUCUCCUCACAAAUAUCACUUGAAUUAUCUAAACAAGGAAGCGCAUCUCCUUACAAAUGUCUCUUGAGUUAUCCAAACAAGGAAGUGUGUCUCCUAGAGAUAUUGGAUGAUGAGUUUUACCAUGGUUUUGAUUACCAAGCCUGUGCACAAUAUUGUCUCCUGCAUUUGUGGAAGUGAGACAUUGCAACUUUUCAUGUUUAGGCUUUGAAAUCCUUGAUUCGAAGGUAAUAUGUAUUCCUGUUUCAUACAAAGAAAACUUGUUAGUUUAAAAACAUGGUGGCUGAUUUGUGGCUUUGGCUUUUGUGGCAAUCGCUCUUACCCUUGUCACAUUAAUCUUGCUGUCAACCAUUAGCAUAUGUCAUUGACUCACUCCAUCAUUGAUUCGAACUUGGAUUAUCAAGAGUGACUCUGAAACAAACACAGUAUUUUUGCUUUGCCAUGCUUCUCAGAUAAACUCUUUGAGCCUUAAUAUUUCCAUAAGUUCCUAGACUUAUUUAUUGACAAAACUUUCAGCAUGCCUUAUUUCAGCUUACAAUCAUGUCUCUUUCAUGUGUUGGCCUUUUGUCUUGCUUUGUGUAAUUGAAGAAGCUGGUAGCCAGUUUUGAAAUCUUUUCUCACUUGUUUUGAUAUAGAGUUGACUCAAAGACAAGAGAAAAAUGACAAUGACUUUUAUUUGGAUAAUUGACUCGAGAAAACAAAAUAAAAAUAAAGAGAAGAAAGAAAAGACAAUGAAUGUCCCCAUUUGAAAUAAAGAAAUGAAAAAACUAUCUAGAAAUAACAAUCAACUCUAAUGAUUAUACCAUGUAUAUUGGAUCAAGCUUCCCGAUCUUUCCAUCCAAACUUUCUACCAAUUGUUCUUGAGUUAAUGGCUCUGAAACUAAGUUACUUGCUUGGACCCAUUGCAUUCUAAGAGCUCAUUCGGCUAGUGGCACAUUGAAGGAUUUUUGCCAACAAGUCUCUCAUUUUUCUCUCAACUCACCAUCGCCUUAUGAUGCCCAUGGUGCCCAUGGGUUUUCACCAAUAAAACUCUCUCAUUUUUAUCUCUCUCAACUUAUCAUUGCCUUAUGGUGCCCGUGAGGGUUUUCACCAAUAAAAUUCUCAUUUUUAUUUCUCUCCUAAUUUCUUAUGCAAAGAAAGACGAGUAGUUCCCAAAAUGUGUCAUCAUAUCCAUUGCAUGCUUAGUCUUAACAUUCUCAAAGAUUGAUCUGAAGGUCUUUCUUUGGUUGUAACUAAUUUUUUGGAGAGGGUUAGAAAGAAAGGAUGGCAUGGGGCCCAAAUAACACUUGAAGUGGGGUGACACUUACAAUUUUUGGAAUCGACUCAAACAAUGAGGAUACCUCAUGCCCCAGUUUAUUUUGACUAGGUGACUAUAAAUUGUUUAUUUGGUUGGACCGAGCCUCGGGUAGAGGAGCCUACGUAUCUCACCCCCGAGAGAAGAGAAUCAGGUCAUGCGUAGUUCUGACAGCUUGUUCUUUUACUUGAUUCUGAUUAUUUUUCCUUUUAUUGACUUUUUCUCUUUGGAACUUUUCUGACUCUAUUUUUCUGAAUAGAUUUUUACGAGACCUGCGAAGAGGAUAAUUUGUAAAAAAAAAAAAAAAACCAUACUUUUAGUUGACUUUCAUUCUAUAUAUUUCCAACAGUGAUUCGAAUCCAUAUUCUCUACUAAUUCUAGGUAGACACAAGCAACCACAUAUCGUAAUAUACAAGAUGAGUAACGAGUGAUGCGAGACGAGAUGAUUUGUAUAUUCCUAAAACUCAAUCUGUAAAUAAUAUAAAGAGAGUAGAUGAAACAAAUAUGCACCUAAAAGGGCGAUGUACAGUUGUGUGACUCCUCUAACUCAUAUGUAUUUGGUAAAAUAUAAAACAGGGGAGGAUAAACUCGUCACACUAAACAUCCAUAUAUUGAACAGUCGACAAUUUAAAACAAGGCCCCAUAUUCAGGAAUCGUAUUCGCAGAGAACAAGAAACAACACCAACAUAUACUUAAAAGCCAAAUAAGUUACAUAUUAACAUAGCCAAAAUAUAUGUAAGAGAAAAGGGAUGAAGGCCGAGUGAUGACCUUGUUUUGAGCAGCAAACUUGAGGCUUCAACGUCAAGUUUCCGGCUUGAGCUCGACUUUGGAACUCAAUCUCGGAAUCAAGAAAAUACCAAAGAUUUUUUAAAAAAUUGAAUGUGUGCUCUCCCCUCUCCGAAUUUGAAAUCUUAAUUUUCUCUCUUAUCCCCCGAAACCGUGAACCCCGUUUUGAACCUUUCUCAACGAAGUCCCUUUAUUUCGGAUUUCCCCCAAUUUUCUAAAUCUCCCUCUUCUAUUUUUGAACAUCCAAAAAACCCCCAAUCCAUUCACCCUCCAAUCAAAAACCUCCCCACCUCAAGAGUGAAAAAUGUAACUAUUUAUCGGCAAAUCCGGACUUGAAAGUCCGGAUUUGAAACCAAAAAUUUGCAGGGGCCAACGGGCAAAUCGAAGGGGAGGAAAUCAAAAUUUAAAAAUUGAAAGGGACCUCACAUACUCGAAAUUUCAAACGUUUCUCAUGCCUUAAUGGUGGAUUUCAAAAGACACCUCUAUUACUGCACCAAUUUGGGACUGUUUCUCUCUGAUUUCAGAGAUUCGUGGGUUGGACUUGGCCGAGAAGGGGAGAAUCUUGGUAGGCUAGCGGCAGGGGCGCGACAGCUAUUGCUGCUAGCCCCUCCGAUUUGGGUGAGAGAGAGGAAAUGGGAAGAGAAAGGAAAAAAGUCGUUUGAUUUUGUUUUGUUUUGGGAAGAGUUAUGCUGAUGGAACGUUGCUCCUUGGGAAAGGAAAAGCGUGUAUUUGCCUAGGGGAGAGGAAGACAGUUGUUUGUAUUGGUUCCUUGAUUAAUUUUGAUCCAUGAAUAAAUAUUCUAAAAAUAAUAGUAAAGUAUAUAUAAGCUGAUUUAAAAUUGAUUAUUUUGUUUUUAUGUUUUAGGUUUAUCAUUAAAAGUUUGUAUUAGAAGAGUCAAAGAUAGUAGAACAAAAAUAUUCUGGUCGAAAAAGAAUAGAUCAAUUUUCUUAUUUAUUUUCCUCCAAAUAAGAUGGUCUUUGUUUCAAUGACAAUACUUGUCAAAUUUGUCUUUCGGAGUUUUAAAAAAAAUGUGUUUGUACUCCCAUG
RNAcentral lists this long non-coding RNA (4887 nucleotides) under Capsicum annuum. RNAcentral's name for it is "long non-coding RNA (CANN_LNC012119)". The record is from RNAcentral. Lineage: Eukaryota; Viridiplantae; Streptophyta; Magnoliopsida; Solanales; Solanaceae.